UACGUAGGUGGCAAGCGUUGUCCGGAAUCACUGGGCGUAAAGCGCGCGCAGGCGGCGAUCUACGUCUGGGGUGAAAGCCCGGAGCUCAACUCCGGGACUGCCUUGGAUACGGGAUCGCUUGAGAAUUGGAGAGGCAAGGGGAAUUCCACGUGUAGCGGUGAAAUGCGUAGAUAUCAGAAAGAACACCUAUGGCGAAGGCAGCACUCUGGGACGGUACUGACGCUGAGACGCGAAAGCGUGGGGAGCGAACAGG
RNAcentral lists this ribosomal RNA (253 nucleotides) under uncultured bacterium. Its description in RNAcentral is "partial 16S ribosomal RNA". It matches the Rfam family "Bacterial small subunit ribosomal RNA", at positions 524 to 776 of the family's 1533-position model. The record is from RNAcentral.